UCAGGAUGAACGCUGGCGGCGUGCCUAACACAUGCAAGUCGAACGAAGCACUGAGAGUUUGAGAUUUCGGCCAAGAACUUUCUUUGACUUAGUGGCGGACGGGUGAGUAAUGCGUGAGCAACCUGCCUUUCAGAGGGGGACAACAGUUGGAAACGACUGCUAAUACCGCAUGAUACAUUGUUGGGGCAUCCUGAUAAUGUCAAAGAUUUAUCGCUGAAAGAUGGCCUCGCGUCUGAUUAGUUAGUUGCGGGGUAACGGCCCACCAAGACGACGAUGGGUAGCCGACCUGAGAGGGUGAUCGGCCACACUGGAACUGAGACACGGUCCAGACUCCUACGGGAGGCAGCAGUGGGGAAUAUUGGGCAAUGGGCGCAAGCCUGACCCAGCAACGCCGCGUGAAGGAAGAAGGUCUUCGGAUUGUAAACAUCUGUCCUGUGGGACGAAACAAAUGACGGUACCACAGGAGGAAGCCCCGGCUAACUACGUG
RNAcentral lists this ribosomal RNA (487 nucleotides) under uncultured bacterium. RNAcentral's name for it is "bacterial SSU rRNA". It matches the Rfam family "Bacterial small subunit ribosomal RNA", at positions 24 to 507 of the family's 1533-position model. The record is from RNAcentral.